CACUGCCGAGAAAAGCCUCUAGAUAGAAAAUAGGUGCCCGUACCGCAAACCGACACAGGUAGUCAAGAUGAGAAUUCUAAGGUGAGCGAGCGAACUCUCGUUAAGGAACUCGGCAAAAUGACCCCGUAACUUCGGGAGAAGGGGUGCUCUUUAGGGUUAACGCCCAGAAGAGCCGCAGUGAAUAGGCCCAAGCGACUGUUUAUCAAAAACACAGGUCUCUGCUAAACCGUAAGGUGAUGUAUAGGGGCUGACGCCUGCCCGGUGCUGGAAGGUUAAGAGGAGUGGUUAGCUUCUGCGAAGCUACGAAUCGAAGCCCCAGUAAACGGCGGCCGUAACUAUAACGGUCCUAAGGUAGCGAAAUUCCUUGUCGGGUAAGUUCCGACCCGCACGAAAGGCGUAACGAUUUGGGCACUGUCUCAACGAGAGACUCGGUGAAAUCAUAGUACCUGUGAAGAUGCAGGUUACCCGCGACAGGACGGAAAGACCCCGUGGAGCUUUACUGUAGCCUGAUAUUGAAAUUCGGCACAGCUUGUACAGGAUAGGUAGGAGCCUUUGAAACGUGAGCGCUAGCUUACGUGGAGGCGCUGGUGGGAUACUACCCUAGCUGUGUUGGCUUUCUAACCCGCACCACUUAUCGUGGUGGGAGACAGUGUCAGGCGGGCAGUUUGACUGGGGCGGUCGCCUCCUAAAAGGUAACGGAGGCGCUCAAAGGUUCCCUCAGAAUGGUUGGAAAUCAUUCAUAGAGUGUAAAGGCAUAAGGGAGCUUGACUGCGAGACCUACAAGUCGAGCAGGGUCGAAAGACGGACUUAGUGAUCCGGUGGUUCCGCAUGGAAGGGCCAUCGCUCAACGGAUAAAAGCUACCCCGGGGAUAACAGGCUUAUCUCCCCCAAGAGUUCACAUCGACGGGGAGGUUUGGCACCUCGAUGUCGGCUCAUCGCAUCCUGGGGCUGUAGUCGGUCCCAAGGGUUGGGCUGUUCGCCCAUUAAAGCGGUACGCGAGCUGGGUUCAGAACGUCGUGAGACAGUUCGGUCCCUAUCCGUCGUGGGCGUAGGAAAUUUGAGAGGAGCUGUCCUUAGUACGAGAGGACCGGGAUGGACAUACCUCUGGUGUACCAGUUGUCGUGCCAACGGCAUAGCUGGGUAGCUAUGUGUGGACGGGAUAAGUGAUGAAAGCAUCUAAGCAUGAAGCCCCCCUCAAGAUGAGAUUUCCCAACUUCGGUUAUAAGAUCCCUCAAAGAUGAUGAGGUUAAUAGGUUCGAGGUGGAAGCAUGGUGACAUGUGGAGCUGACGAAUACUAAUCGAUCGAAGACUUAAUCAA
This 1318-nucleotide ribosomal RNA is filed under the name Staphylococcus aureus. RNAcentral's name for it is "partial 23S ribosomal RNA". It matches the Rfam family "Bacterial large subunit ribosomal RNA", at positions 1603 to 2925 of the family's 2925-position model. The record is from RNAcentral. Lineage: Bacteria; Bacillati; Bacillota; Bacilli; Caryophanales; Staphylococcaceae.